This is a long non-coding RNA of Hevea brasiliensis (rubber tree), 636 nucleotides long. RefSeq lists it as uncharacterized. The record is from RefSeq and is a predicted model, not a curated record. The transcript is spliced from 2 exons. NCBI's taxonomy places the organism in Eukaryota, Viridiplantae, Streptophyta, Magnoliopsida, Malpighiales, Euphorbiaceae.
CUUUUUUCUUCGUUGGUUUGAGAGUCUCGUGAGUUUUCGCCGUUAGGGCAACUUUUUCUUGCCCCUCCGGAUAGGAAAGCUCGCCCUAAGCUUCCCCUAACCGGAUGUGGUCGUCCCUUCCAAUAUCAGGAGUCUUCUGAUUUGGGAGCAACUACUUUAUCUGUGUUGGUCGCAAUUUUCUUCGUUGAGAUGAGGUUCAGAUUCGCAUGGUGGUAUUGAGGGUGCAAAUUAAGAAGGAUUUAUCCUUUGGUCCCAGUGAGUUAAGAAGCUUGCGGUCUGGCACCUCAUGGCUAUAAAAGAUUAAAACCCUAUGACUUUGCUCCUUCUCCCUCUGUGCGUCCAGACUUUACCUGUUGCUGCCGCUGAAUAUGUUACUGGUGCUGCUAUGUUUGCUACCCGAUGGGCUUUGGUUGGCUUCUAUGGAAGCUUGCAAAGUCUGUUGGGUCAUUCUUGCUUUUGUCUUUAGUGAUCCUUUCUUCUCUCCCCAACAUUUGUGGUGACUUGUGCCUAUUUCUGUUACUCAGUGUUUGUGUGUGGUGUUGGCUGACAGUGAUUUGAGUUUGGGUAAUGGGCUUGAUGUUGGGUGGGCCUAAUUGUAUUUUCAUGGAUCUAGACUAUUGUAGCUAUUUGCCUUUU